RNAcentral lists this ribosomal RNA (468 nucleotides) under uncultured bacterium. Its description in RNAcentral is "partial 16S ribosomal RNA". It matches the Rfam family "Bacterial small subunit ribosomal RNA", at positions 28 to 507 of the family's 1533-position model. The record is from RNAcentral.
GACGAACGCUGGCGGCGUGCUUAACACAUGCAAGUCGAACGGAAAGUCCCUGCUUUUGUGGGGUGCUCGAGUGGCGAACGGGUGAGUAACACGUGAGUAACCUGCCCUUGACUUUGGGAUAACUUCAGGAAACUGGGGCUAAUACCGGAUAGGAGCUCCUGCUGCAUGGUGGGGGUUGGAAAGUUUCGGCGGUUGGGGAUGGACUCGCGGCGUAUCAGCUUGUUGGUUGGGUAGUGGCUUACCAAGGCUUUGACGGGUAGCCGGCCUGAGAGGGUGACCGGCCACAUUGGGACUGAGAUACGGCCCAGACUCCUACGGGAGGCAGCAGUGGGGAAUAUUGCACAAUGGGCGGAAGCCUGAUGCAGCAACGCCGCGUGCGGGAUGACGGCCUUCGGGUUGGAAACCGCUUUCGCCUGUGACGAAGCGUGAGUGACGGUAAUGGGUAAAGAAGCACCGGCUAACUACGUG